This 365-nucleotide long non-coding RNA is filed under the name Olea europaea subsp. europaea. Lineage: Eukaryota; Viridiplantae; Streptophyta; Magnoliopsida; Lamiales; Oleaceae. The record is from RNAcentral.
UGGGAAGGUCAAUACUAUGUUUUCAAAGCUGUAUUUAUAACGAGUUCACCACUCUUUUUGUGUCCGCUGCUCCUUAAAAUAAUGUGUAAUAAAUUGAAAAAGUAUUGAUACUUCCAAGAAAAUCGAAACAAAGUAUAUUGACUCGAUACUGGUAAUGAUAUCGAAACAAAAAAAUAAUUCGUAGAUUAAGGUCUUAUUUGCUUAGAUUAUUCAAGCUAAGUUUAAUUAUUUUAUUAACUAAUUUUAAAAGCCACUAUUUCCAUGUGCAGAACCUUCAUGUCCACCAUCACCACCCUGCAUUAGCAUGUCCACAAACCUGCCUCGACUGCUUGUCUUCAACUCGGCCAUCAAAUCUCACAGUCGAC